AGGAGAAGGAGGAAGGAGAGGAGUGAGGAGGAGGAAGGCUCCGAGCUGGGCGUUGCUCUGGCAACGUCGCGGCCUUCGCCCCGCCGCGGGCCGUGAGGAGGCUGAAAACGCUGGCUGCAUCUCUGUGUCUCUUGGAGGUCACUUGCUGAUUUAUCUCCAAUUCACAGCUCAUUAGAAGGUGUGUAACUCCUCAGAGAUGUUGUUAUUUAACAGGUAUGUUUUCCUAGUCCUAUUAAUGACCUCUGGAUUUAGUAACUCCUGACACAAGAGAGAUUUGGGAGAUUUUCCACAGAAAAUUGGAAGUCUUUU
Molecule: long non-coding RNA, 309 nt
Organism: Haemorhous mexicanus (house finch)
Lineage: Eukaryota; Metazoa; Chordata; Aves; Passeriformes; Fringillidae
Exons: 3
Source: RefSeq, a predicted model, not a curated record